UAUUAGGUUGGUGCAACAGUAGUUGUGGUUUUUGCCAUUGAAAGUAAUGGCAAAAAACUGCAAUUACUGUUGCACCAACUUAAUA
Molecule: microRNA precursor, 85 nt
Organism: Pan troglodytes (chimpanzee)
Lineage: Eukaryota; Metazoa; Chordata; Mammalia; Primates; Hominidae
Rfam family: mir-548 microRNA precursor family
Source: Rfam